Molecule: ribosomal RNA, 326 nt
Filed under: uncultured eukaryote
Lineage: Eukaryota
Description: partial 18S ribosomal RNA
Rfam family: Eukaryotic small subunit ribosomal RNA
Source: RNAcentral
CCCUUAGAUGUUCUGGGCCGCACGCGCGCUACAAUGAUGAAUUCAACGAGUUUAUAACCUUGGUUGAAAAGCCUGGGUAAUCUUUUGAACUUUCGUCGUGAUGGGGCUAGACCCUUGCAAUUAUUGGUCUCCAACGAGGAAUUCCUAGUAAACGCAAGUCAUCAGCUUGCAUUGAUUACGUCCCUGCCCUUUGUACACACCGCCCGUCGCACCUACCGAUUGAAUGGUCCGGUGAAUAAUUCGGACUGCAGCACUGCUUGGUCUCCAGGCUUUGCAGCGGAAAGUUUAGUGAACCUUAUCACUUAGAGGAAGGAGAAGUCGUAACA